AUUGAACGCUGGCGGCAGGCCUAACACAUGCAAGUCGAACGAGGGGCGGACGGGUGAGUAAUGUCUGGGAAACUGCCCGAUGGAGGGGGAUAACUACUGGAAACGGUAGCUAAUAGCGCAUACUAUCGUAUGAGCCCAGAUGGGAUUAGCGAGUAGGUGGGGUAACGGCUCACCUAGGCGACGAUCCCUAGCUGGUCUGAGAGGAUGACCAGCCACACUGGAACUGAGACACGGUCCAGACUCCUACGGGAGGCAGCAGUGGGGAAUAUUGCACAAUGGGCGCAAGCCUGAUGCAGCCAUGCCGCGUGUAUGAAGAAGGCCUUCGGGUUGUAAAGUACUUUCAGCGGGGAGGCGUUACUCGCAGAAGAAGCACCGGCUAACUCCGUGCCAGCAGCCGCGGUAAUUC
This 406-nucleotide ribosomal RNA is filed under the name uncultured bacterium. RNAcentral describes it as "partial 16S ribosomal RNA". It matches the Rfam family "Bacterial small subunit ribosomal RNA", at positions 30 to 526 of the family's 1533-position model. The record is from RNAcentral.